CUACGGGGGGCAGCAGUAAGGAAUAUUGCGCAAUGGAGGCAACUCUGACGCAGCCAUGCCGCGUGCAGGAAGAAGGCCUUAUGGGUCGUAAACUGCUUUUAUUUAGGAAUAACCCCCUGCUCGUGAGCAGGGCUGAAGGUACUAAAAGAAUAAGCACCGGCUAACUGCGUGCCAGCAGCCGCGGUAAUACGGAGGGUGCAAGCGUUAUCCGGAUUUAUUGGGUUUAAAGGGUGCGCAGGCGGGCUAUUAAGUCAGUGGUGAAAUCCCGGGGCUCAACUCCGGAACUGCCAUUGAUACUGAUAGUCUUGAGUUUGGUUGAAGUGGGCGGAAUGUAGCAUGUAGCGGUGAAAUGCAUAGAUAUGCUACAGAACACCAAUCGCGAAGGCAGCUCACUAAGCCAAAACUGACGCUCAUGCACGAAAGCGUGGGGAGCAAACAGGAUUAGAUACCCCUGUAGUC
RNAcentral lists this ribosomal RNA (459 nucleotides) under uncultured bacterium. RNAcentral's name for it is "partial 16S ribosomal RNA". It matches the Rfam family "Bacterial small subunit ribosomal RNA", at positions 339 to 795 of the family's 1533-position model. The record is from RNAcentral.